This is a long non-coding RNA of Brassica napus (rape), 1313 nucleotides long. RefSeq lists it as uncharacterized. The transcript has 2 exons. NCBI's taxonomy places the organism in Eukaryota, Viridiplantae, Streptophyta, Magnoliopsida, Brassicales, Brassicaceae. The record is from RefSeq and is a predicted model, not a curated record.
UCGCGCUACUUCACCUGGUGGGACAUAUACUAAUAAACAAACCAAAUCGGGACACGAGACAAACAGUGACUCCUCGUGUACUCUGUUACUUCUGUUCAGAGCCUGUUUAAUGAUUUUGUAUUCUCCAAAAAAACACAGAGAAGAGAAUCAUAUUUAUUUUAAUUUAAGGUUAUUUCAACAUAAAUUAAUAUACAUUAUUUUAUAGUAAAUACAUAUAUUUUGUGACUUUUAACUAAUUUAGCUAUUCAAAAUUAAUUUAGCAUCUGUUAUGUCUUUUUAUUGUAAUACUUUAUAACUUUGGAUGGUAUUUUGUAGUGGUUAUUUUAAUUAUAUACUAGAUCCUCUCUUAAAAAUGUGAAUAUAUUUUUUGUUUUACAUUUUUUUAGAAAUUUAAUUUUUAUAAUUGUAUUUUUAGUUAUAUUUGUGUUUUCUUUGUAUAAUAUUUCUUUUAAAUAAAUUUUUUUUGAUCAAUUUCUUUUAAAUAAUUAAAAGAAGUUUUAAUAAUUGUAUUAAAAUAGUUAGACCACACUUAUAUCAAUAUGUCAUGUUACUAUUUUAAUAAAAUAGAUUAUAUAAUAUAAUGAAAAAUGAUUAUAAACUUUAUAUAAAAGGGCAUAUUUGAGAUUCAUAAUUAUUUGAGAGAAAGUUAUUUUCAAUGGGAAAAUGUAUCUUAGACAAUUAAUUUCUCUAAAUCUAAUACCCUUUGGAAUUAUUUGAGCAACUUUGCUUUCUUAUAACUACUCAAAAACUCUAGUGACUUUUUAACUAAUUUACGUACUUAAAUUAAAUUAUUAUAAGUUAAUUUUGCUCUAUAUAAAUUAUGUAUUCUUGAUUACAUUAAUACCUUUACUACAAGCAUAUCAUCAUGACAAACUCAUCGAAGACAAAGCUCACAUAUAUUUUUUGGUUUGCUAUAACCAUAAUGGUGAUAAUAACAUUGAUAUGUUCAGAAGAUGAUGACAUAGGGUCGCGUGCUCUUAAGAACGGUGAAUCAUAUCGUUGGCAGUUUUAUGUUAAUUUUUUUAAUAGUACACUAUACUUUUGUGAAUUUCAUCAAGGCAAAGUAACAAAAGGUGUGUUCGACAUUUACGAUGCGCUUAGAGAUUUUAAAAGAUGUACUCGAUGUACAUGGAUGGCAGAGACUGAUGGUCUAUACGGAUUUAGUGAGAAGAAACCACCACCAGCCGCAGUGUUCUAUAAAUGGUUAAAGUAGUAUAAAAUAAGUAAUUUGAUAAAAGUAUGUAAUGCAAUUUAUUAAAAUAUAAAUAAAAUAGGACUUACCUUUUAACUGGUAAGUUUUAUUUAAUUAUUCA